This is a non-coding RNA of Monodelphis domestica (gray short-tailed opossum), 3429 nucleotides long. The record is from RefSeq and is a predicted model, not a curated record. Lineage: Eukaryota; Metazoa; Chordata; Mammalia; Didelphimorphia; Didelphidae.
CAUGGGGCGGCCGCGCAAUGCACGCCGGGACAUCCCCCUAUUACCCGACAUUCAAACACAAAGGGCUUGUAGCGGUUCGGACUUUUGCGCAGGCGCCCUGCCCAAGACCAGACCCCCGAGUGCGCAGGCGCCAUGGGUCACUGAUGAGACUACAAAUCCAGUGGAUUAAAUUAAGCAAUUAACUUGGGAUUCAAAAAAUCAACUUCCUAGAUAUAGGAUGGGAGAAGUAUUUGGUAAGUGGAUAAUUAAUUCGAAAUCCCUCAGAUCAUGAAUUGGGAACUAUCCAAAAGCUCAAGGAUGUACAACUUGGCCAAUCAGUGUUUCUAAUCUUUUAAGAUUGAUCAAAGUGCCUCAGACACUUCCCAGCUGUGUGACCCUGGGCAAGUCACUUGACCCCCAUUGCCUAGCCCUUACCACUCUUCUGCCUUGGAGCCAAUACACAGUAUUGACUCCAAGACAGAAGGUAAGGGUUUAAAAAAAAAAAAAAAGAUUGAUCAAAGUGGGGCAAGCUAGCAGUACAGAGUCAGCCAGUCCUGGGUUCAAAUGUGGUUCAGACACUGGACAAAUCAUUUAACACUACCACCACCACCCAUGCCUAGCCCUUACCACUCUUUUGUUGUGGAACCAGUAUUUCGUAUUAAAGACAGGGUAAAGUAAAAAAAAAGUCAAAGAACAAGAACUUGCUAUUGAUUGCAACAAUUCAACCUCAAAGACAUUAUAUGACUCUUCUGGACAUUCUGCUUACAGAAGGGAAAGGAAUAGGCAUUUGCAUACCUAUUAUGUUUCAAGUACUUUGCUAAAAGCUAAGCACUUUACAAUGAUUUGGUCCUCACAAUCCUGUGAACUCAUGUACUCCACUAGUCAGCUGUGUCACCAAGAAGCAUUGGUGUGAAAGCUGGCAAAUGACACGGAACCAGAGCAGCUCUGCCUCCUCCAUUCAAAGUACCCAAGGGGGCAAUUGGUAGCUUUGUUAUUCACUUGUUUUUCAUCUGAAAUCCAACUGAGAAUGUAUACAAGAAAUCUUUAUGUGGGAGUGGUCCAUAUUCACUUCAGAGGUUCACCAAAUAAACCACUCACUCCCCCAAUAUGAAUAUAAGUCCCUUAACUAUGAUUGUUGUUCAAUCAUGUGACUUUUGGGGACCACACAGAUAAUAGGUAUAACAGGAAGGUUUUUUCCCAAGGAGAAAAUGGAAUGGUUUUCCAUUUCCUUCCCUAGUGGGUCUUUUUUCAGAAAAUCCGAAGUUGUAACCUGCCCAGAUUUACAUAAGCUAAUAUCUGGUCAUAUUCAAACUCAAGACUUCCUGACCCUAGACCUACUACUAUAUCCACUGAGCUGACUAGCUGCUUCCUUAACUAUGGGGCCUUUCUAUAUCCCCCAGCACUUAGCAAAAUACUUGGCAGAGUUAAGCAUUAGGCUUUUUAGUCAUUCUUUUAUUCCUACUAAAGCUUUACCUUCAGUCUUAGAAUUGAUAGUUUUGAUUCUAAGGUAGAAGAGGGGUAAAAGGGCUAGGCAACUGGGUUAAGUGACAACUAGAAACCUACUAGAAAUCUAUUAGGGAAAUCAGUAUAUGAUAAAUGAAAAGGAUGAGAUUCCAAUAGUUAUAAAACAAAGAUGGGCACAGACUUUAUUAACUCUAUUUAACAGAUAAAACUGAGGACCUGUGAUUCACUGUUUCGACAGCAAAAUGACAGCAAAGGUGGCUGGGAUGGGCUCUUCACCCCCUUCCCAGUCUUCUUAGGCAGUUUCCCACAAGCACAAACAUUUGUUUAAAAAUCCAGGGGGCAGCUGGGUAGCUCAGUGGAUUGAGAGCCAGGCACAGAGAUGGGAGGUCCUAGGUUCGAAUUUGGACUCAAGACACUUCCCAGCUGUGUGACCCUGGGCAAAUCACUUAACCUUAACCCCACCCCCACCCCCAUUGCCUAGCCCUUACCACUCUUCUGCCAAUUGACUCCAAAACAAAAGGUAAGGAUUUUAAAAAAAUAAAAAUAAAAAGCCCAAACUAGGGGGAAGCUAGAUGACUCGUUGACAGUCAAGCCUGGAGAUGGGAUGUUCUAGGUUCAAAUCUAUCCCCAGACACUUUGUGUAAUCUCAGGCAAGUCACUUAACCCCCAACUGCCCAGCCCUUACAACUCUUCUGCCUUGGGACCAAUGCACAAUAUUGAUUCUAAGAUGGAAGUAAGGGUUAAAAAAAAAAAGCCCAAAUGAAAUCACACCCAGAAGUGAAAAUCAAAACAUUUAUUGGAGUGUCUUGUACAAAAAAGUUUCCAGUCAUAAAACGUAUAUUACAAAUCAUUGAAAAAGACAUUUGGCAUGCAAGUAUAUUCUUUAAAAAAAAGUUUUUGAAAUGAUAAAGUCUAGAUUAUCAUAGUUCUCAAAUGCUCAGCAUGACAUCCAUCAUCUCUAUAGAAGUCUGUGGGUUCUCCCAUAACUAUUCAACUCAGUAAUUUAAACCUUUUUUUUACAGCAGUGUUCAUAAAGAAUGCAUCCAUAAUGAUCAAUGGCCACUAUAUAAAUAGAACAAAGCUAUCUAAAAGUUGUAUGGUUAAAACUACCUUCAAGUCAAAAGUCAUUAUCUUUAUGAAAAUAGUUUAAGGUGGGAAGUGAUCGUUUGCAGGCCCUUGGGCCUUUGUUUUUUUAACAGUUUAUUGCUAAAUUUAUUAAGCAUGAUAACCUGGGAAGGAAUGUUGGUCCAACCCAAUCAGUGAAGAGUCAAAGUUUUCAUGAUCUUUUGAGUUGAGCUAAUAAUACCUUUCACAAAAGUACCCCUGCCCCUCCCCCCAACCCCCAAGCCUAGGAUUUAUUUUACUCAAAGGAUCAAGCCAAGCUUCAAAACAUGCUUUUCUGGGGUCAUCACUGCUACUCUCACCUAACCACUGUUUCUUCUAGACCUUAGCAUUUCAAGAAAAAGGCAUUAUGUUUACAAAGAAUAAUUGUAUGUAAAUGUGGGCUUAUACAAAACAAGAAAAAAAUCGCCUCUGAAUUAUUUUAAAAGUGGUGUAAAGCUAAGCAUAUUUGAGGGCAAGUAAAAUUCUGUUUCCCAGGCCAUGUUCAGCAUUAAAAAAAGGUUCAUGCUGCUCAAUGUUUCCAAAUAGUCUUUAUUUCCAUUUUCUGCUAUGGGCUACCAUGCAGUCACUGACCAGCUAACCUUCCACCUAAGAGCCUCCUUCUAUGAAGCCUAAAACCAGUUCUAAAAGCAGAGAGAGCUAGGAAAGGGCUAAGACAGGAGUAAUUAGCUCCUGGACCUGCCUUACUUCCCAAGGACCCCCUUGGUCAGAAUGAUUGCUUUCCUGAGCAGCAGAGAAAAAUUGAAUGAAUAACCAAUUGGGUAAUCACUUUUCCCCAAUACAUGCAACCAGAGUCAACCAAGAAACUGUCUCCAGUUGUUCAGCCCCACUAUUGACACCUUUAUAUUUUUAUCCAAAUAGGAA